Non-coding RNA from Paramuricea clavata, 645 nucleotides. The record is from the annotation of a GenBank genome assembly. NCBI's taxonomy places the organism in Eukaryota, Metazoa, Cnidaria, Anthozoa, Malacalcyonacea, Plexauridae.
AAAAAUCAACUUCAACAACAUUCAUACAACAAUUGUAUUUCGUGACAAAAACUCUAUAGUGUAAACGAGUUUAAAAUUAAAAGAACCUACUUAAACGGUUUCAGCAGCAUUUCCUGUUGCCUGUUGUGUAUUUUUCUUCUCUUUUAUAUUCUUUAUUUGAACACAAACUUGGAAAAUCGUAGUUUCUAAUUAUCUGAGUUGUGCCUCCAUUUUGUUUAUUUAUGUACGUGGCCGGCCGGGGCGGGCAACAAUUUUUCACCUGUUGCCCGGCGGGAAACAUUGCAUUUAUCUGAAGUCACGUGACCACAAGUCAGCCAAUCACGUUUGGUGUUCACACUAGCUAUAUAACAAUGGUUAUUAUUUCCGCGCACAGGAAUAAUCAUGUAUGUUUAUCGACAAUUCAUAAGAAAUUUCGUGAGCAUUUAUAUGCCCACCCAUGCAAUUUCUACUUAUCUUUCAAUAGAUCUGAUAUUGUGUCGUCGCCAACCAAGUGCAGUAUUUACUAAACGGUCAACUAAUUGAACUCAUAUGCCAUGUUCAACUAUAUGUCUUAUAUAUACAAUUGUUCAUUGGGCUAAAAUAUUCAAAUUUCAUUAAUAGGUUUUUUCACCUGUUUCAGAUCUGUCACGAAUACUUUUAAAAUAG